UACGAAGGGGACUAGCGUUGUUCGGAAUCACUGGGCGUAAAGCGCACGUAGGCGGAUGUGUCAGUCAGGGGUGAAAUCCCGGGGCUCAACCUCGGAACUGCCUUUGAUACAGCACGUCUCGAGUCCGGAAGAGGUGGGUGGAAUUCCUAGUGUAGAGGUGGAAUUCGUAGAUAUUAGGAAGAACACCAGUGGCGAAGGCGGCUGCCUGGGCCUGGCCUGACGCUGAGGCGCGAAAGCGUGGGGAGCGAUCCGG
RNAcentral lists this ribosomal RNA (253 nucleotides) under uncultured bacterium. RNAcentral's name for it is "partial 16S ribosomal RNA". It matches the Rfam family "Bacterial small subunit ribosomal RNA", at positions 524 to 776 of the family's 1533-position model. The record is from RNAcentral.